CCUACGGGACGCAGCAGUGAGGAAUAUUGGUCAAUGGGCGGGAGCCUGAACCAGCCAAGUCGCGUGAGGGAAGACGGUCCUAUGGAUUGUAAACCUCUUUAGGCGGGGAGCAAUGCCGGGCACGCGUGCCCGGAGGGAGAGUACCCGCAGAAUAAGCAUCGGCUAACUCCGUGCCAGCAGCCGCGGUAAUACGUAGGGGGCGAGCGUUGCCCGGAAUCACUGGGCGUAAAGGGCGCGUAGGCGGUAAUAUAAGUCAGAUGUGAAAGGUGGGGGCUCAACCCCUAGAGUGCAACUGAUACUGUAUA
Molecule: ribosomal RNA, 305 nt
Filed under: uncultured bacterium
Lineage: Bacteria
Description: bacterial SSU rRNA
Rfam family: Bacterial small subunit ribosomal RNA
Source: RNAcentral